Molecule: ribosomal RNA, 422 nt
Filed under: uncultured bacterium
Lineage: Bacteria
Description: bacterial SSU rRNA
Rfam family: Bacterial small subunit ribosomal RNA
Source: RNAcentral
UGAGGAAUAUUGGUCAAUGGGCGGAAGCCUGAACCAGCCAUCCCGCGUGAAGGAAGGCGGCCCUAUGGGUUGUAAACUUCUUUAGUACAUGAAGAACAGGAUCUACGCGUAGGUUUAUGACGGUAAUGUACAAAAAGCAUCGGCUAACUCCGUGCCAGCAGCCGCGGUAAUACGGAGGAUGCGAGCGUUAUCCGGAUUCAUUGGGUUUAAAGGGUACGUAGGUGGCCCUGUAAGUCAGUGGUUAAAAUCUGCCGCUUAACGGUAGGGGUGCCAAUGAUACUGCGGGGCUUGAGUACAGUUGAGGUAGGUGGAAUGUGUAGUGUAGCGGUGAAAUGCAUAGAUAUUACACAGAACUCCGAUUGCGAAGGCAUCUUACUAAGCUGAAACUGACACUGAUGUACGAAAGCGUGGGGAUCGAACAG